CUUUAACCAACUGCUCUUUUCCUUCUUCGGUCAUACUAAAGAACACAUCAGUUAACUCGUGAGAAUGCGCUAUAUGACAAACGGCCUUGAUAAUUUCUCCUACAGUGAGGUUGGAAAUCUUUCUUAUCUCAGAAUCAAUUUUUUGCCUCUUCUCAGAUAUUUCAGCAUCAACCCCAACUGCUUUUCCAAAGAUCUGACUGGCUUUGGCAAUUUCACUUCCAAUAACUGCAGCUGCAUCUUUAAUAUCUG
Molecule: long non-coding RNA, 249 nt
Filed under: Erythranthe guttata (spotted monkey flower)
Lineage: Eukaryota; Viridiplantae; Streptophyta; Magnoliopsida; Lamiales; Phrymaceae
Description: long non-coding RNA (EGUT_LNC000952)
Source: RNAcentral